UACGAAGGGGGCGAGCGUUGUUCGGAUUUACUGGGCGUAAAGGGCGCGCAGGCGGCUCAUUUUGUCAGGCGUGAAAUCCCCGGGCUUAACCUGGGAACUGCGCUUGAGACGGGUGAGCUAGAGAUCGGGAGAGGAGAGUGGAAUUCCCAGUGUAGAGGUGAAAUGCGUAGAUAUUGGGAAGAACACCGGUGGCGAAGGCGGGCCUCUGGACCGAUACUGACGCUGAGGCGCGAAAGCGUGGGGAGCAAACAGG
Molecule: ribosomal RNA, 253 nt
Filed under: uncultured bacterium
Lineage: Bacteria
Description: partial 16S ribosomal RNA
Rfam family: Bacterial small subunit ribosomal RNA
Source: RNAcentral